RNAcentral lists this long non-coding RNA (409 nucleotides) under Zonotrichia albicollis (white-throated sparrow). RNAcentral describes it as "lncRNA (ENSZALG00000012309.1)". The record is from RNAcentral. Lineage: Eukaryota; Metazoa; Chordata; Aves; Passeriformes; Passerellidae.
GGAAAAAACGGCUGUAGCACUGUGUCUGCUGAAGAUAUUCUUCUUUUUCAGAAAGUGAAUCCUUAUGUGGAACUAUUAAAAGAGGCAUGGUCACAUUAUAGUUCACAGUUUGCACAGGCACUUAAAUAUAACAAAUAAAGCACUGGAGGAAGUGAUGUGUGAGCCAUGGAUCAUCUCACUGAGGAGCUACAGGUCUGGUGUCCCUGUGGAGAAGGUUGGCUGUGUCACUAGGGGGAUUGUGCAAUUAAUGGAGCCAUACAGCCCUGGGAGCUGGCUGAGAUCUGGAUUGCUCGGAUCAAGGACAUGAGAGCCCCACCUACUCCCAUCUGUAGAUGCAUCCAUGCAGACACUCGCUGGCUGUUCCCUUUCAGAAUGUGCACUGUUAUCCACCUUGCUGCUGUAUCCUGCA